This 492-nucleotide ribosomal RNA is filed under the name uncultured bacterium. RNAcentral describes it as "partial 16S ribosomal RNA". It matches the Rfam family "Bacterial small subunit ribosomal RNA", at positions 28 to 507 of the family's 1533-position model. The record is from RNAcentral.
GACGAACGCUGGCGGCGUGCUUAACACAUGCAAGUGGAGCGACGAACCAGGGCUUGCCCUGGGGCAGAGCCGCGAACGGGUGAGUAACACGUGGGUAACGUGCCCCGAUGACUGGGACAACCCGGGGAAACCCGGGCUAAUACCGGAUGUGCCCCCUCACAUCAGUGAGGUGUGUAAAGGAAGCUUCGGCCUCCGCAUCGGGAUCGGCCCGCGGCCCAUUAGCUUGUUGGUGAGGUAACGGCUCACCAAGGCUGCGAUGGGUAGCUAGUCUGAGAGGACGAUCAGCCACACUGGGACUGAGACACGGCCCAGACUCCUACGGGAGGCAGCAGUGGGGAAUCUUGCGCAAUGCGCGAAAGCGUGACGCAGCAACGCCGCGUGGGGGAAGACGGCCUUCGGGUUGUAAACCCCUUUCAGUUGGGACGAAGGUCGGGCGGUUAACAGCCGUUCCGGCUGACGGUACCUUCACAAGAAGCCCCGGCUAACUACGUG